Molecule: ribosomal RNA, 350 nt
Filed under: Aspergillus nidulans
Lineage: Eukaryota; Fungi; Ascomycota; Eurotiomycetes; Eurotiales; Aspergillaceae
Description: partial large subunit ribosomal RNA
Rfam family: Eukaryotic large subunit ribosomal RNA
Source: RNAcentral
GUGUGCAAGCUCCUUCGACGAGUCGAGUUGUUUGGGAAUGCAGCUCUAAAUGGGUGGUAAAUUUCAUCUAAAGCUAAAUACCGGCCGGAGACCGAUAGCGAACAAGUAGAGUGAUCGAAAGAUGAAAAGCACUUUGAAAAGAGAGUUAAACAGCACGUGAAAUUGUUGAAAGGGAAGCGCUUGCGACCAGACUCGGCCCCGGGGUUCAGCCAGCACUCGUGCUGGUGUACUUCCCCGGGGGCGGGCCAGCGUCGGUUUGGGCGGCCGGUCAAAGGCCCCAGGAAUGUAUCGCCCUCCGGGGUUGUCUUAUAGCCUGGGGUGCAAUGCGGCCAGCCCGACCGAGGAACGCG